Molecule: ribosomal RNA, 446 nt
Filed under: uncultured bacterium
Lineage: Bacteria
Description: partial 16S ribosomal RNA
Rfam family: Bacterial small subunit ribosomal RNA
Source: RNAcentral
CCUACGGGAGGCUGCAGUCGAGAAUCAUUCACAAUGGGGGAAACCCUGAUGGUGCGACGCCGCGUGGGGGAAUGAAGGUCUUCGGAUUGUAAACCCCUGUCAUGUGGGAGCAAAUUAAAAAGAUAGUACCACAAGAGGAAGAGACGGCUAACUCUGUGCCAGCAGCCGCGGUAAUACAGCGGUCUCAAGCGUUGUUCGGAAUCACUGGGCGUAAAGCGUGCGUAGGCUGUUUCGUAAGUCGUGUGUGAAAGGCGCGGGCUCAACCUGCGAACGGCACAUGAUACUGGGAGACUAGAGUAAUGGAGGGGGAAGCGGAAGUCGCGGGGUAGCAGUGAAAUGCGUAGAUAUCGAGAGGAACACUCGUGGCGAAGGCAGGUUCCUGGACAGUAACUGACGCUGAGGCACGAAGGCCAGGGGAGCGAAAGGGAUUAGAUACCCGUGUAGUC